CCCCACUUGUAGGGCCGGGGAUGGGCGCCCCAUUGGCGGUGGUGGGACAUAGGGACCCAUAGGGACCCCAUAGAGCCCCAUAGAGACCCCAUAGAGCCCCAUAGAGUCCUCAUAGACCCCCAUAGAGUCCCCAUAGACCCCCAUAGACCCCCAUAGACCCCCAUGGAGACCCCAUAGACCCCCAUAGGGACCCCUUAGAGCCCCAUGGAGCCCCCAUAGACCCCCAUGGAGACGCCAUAGACCCCCAUAGAGAUCCCAUCGACCCCCAUAGAGCCUCAUAGACCCCCAUAGACUCCCAUAGAGCCCCAUAGACCCCAUAUCUUCCCCCCCCUUUUCCCCCCCCACUUGUAG
Molecule: long non-coding RNA, 351 nt
Filed under: Gallus gallus (chicken)
Lineage: Eukaryota; Metazoa; Chordata; Aves; Galliformes; Phasianidae
Description: lncRNA (ENSGALG00010000136.1)
Source: RNAcentral